AAUUGCCUAACGGCUGAACCAGCAACUUGGAGGAAUGUAAGCAAAAGCUAAUAUACUGUAAAUAUAUAUAACACAGUAUAUAUUGAUUUACUCGAAUAAAAUUCAGGGUGAAUUAUGAUAAUGACAUUUUUUGCUUUCUAGUCUUGACCAAACUACGUGCCAGCAGUCGCGGUAAUACGUAGAAGACAAGUGUUAUUCAUCUUUAAUAGGUUUAAAGGGUACCUAGACGGUAAAUAAAGCCAUAAGAAGGGACUAAUUUGCUAGAGUUACUUAUGAGGGAGCUUUAAGGUACUGGUGGUGUAGAGAUGAAAUUCAUUGAUACCUUUGUUCUUGGGAAUGAAAAAGGCACGAUCAAUGGCGAAAGCAUCUCCUUAUGUGAUAACUGACGUUGAGGGACGAAGGCGUCAUGUAACAAAGAGGAUUAGGUACCCAAUUAGUUGAUAAGCAGACAAUGAUGAGUGUCAUAGAUUAGAUAAUAAUUUAUUCUAUAAAUGAUAGUGUAAGCACUCCACCUCAAGAGUAAUUUGGCAACAUUGGAACUGAAAUCAUUAGACCGUUUCUGAUACCAGUAGUGAAGUAUGUUGUUUAAUUUGAUGAUCCGCAAAAAACCUUACCACAUUACAAGCUAUGCUAUAUGACCAAAAAAAGAAAUUAAUAUGGUUGGUAUACUUGAAUAUUUAUACUAAUAGUGUAUCUACAAGCGUUGCACGGCUGUCUUCAGUUAAUGUCGUCAGAUUCUGGUUAGUUCCAUAAAAUUAACGUAAACCCUUGCUCUUUUUUUUAAAUAGAGCAGUUCUCCAUGACAUUGGUAAGAUAAUAGGGACUAGGACAAGUCAUCAUGGCCGAAAUGUAGU
This 854-nucleotide ribosomal RNA is filed under the name Byssoloma melanodiscocarpum. Its description in RNAcentral is "SSU rRNA". It matches the Rfam family "Bacterial small subunit ribosomal RNA", at positions 370 to 1210 of the family's 1533-position model. The record is from RNAcentral. Lineage: Eukaryota; Fungi; Ascomycota; Lecanoromycetes; Lecanorales; Pilocarpaceae.